RNAcentral lists this ribosomal RNA (349 nucleotides) under Salmonella enterica. RNAcentral describes it as "partial 23S ribosomal RNA". It matches the Rfam family "Bacterial large subunit ribosomal RNA", at positions 1 to 386 of the family's 2925-position model. Lineage: Bacteria; Pseudomonadati; Pseudomonadota; Gammaproteobacteria; Enterobacterales; Enterobacteriaceae. The record is from RNAcentral. RNAcentral also lists the same sequence under 1 other name.
GGUUAAGCGACUAAGCGUACACGGUGGAUGCCCUGGCAGUCAGAGGCGAUGAAGGGCGUGCUAAUCUGCGAUAAGCGCCGGUAAGGUGAUAUGAACCGUUAUAACCGGCGAUACCCGAAUGGGGAAACCCAGUGUGAUUCGUCACACUAUCAUUAACUGAAUCCAUAGGUUAAUGAGGCGAACCGGGGGAACUGAAACAUCUAAGUACCCCGAGGAAAAGAAAUCAACCGAGAUUCCCCCAGUAGCGGCGAGCGAACGGGGAGGAGCCCAGAGCCUGAAUCAGCAUGUGUGUUAGUGGAAGCGUCUGGAAAGGCGCGCGAUACAGGGUGACAGCCCCGUACACAAAAGC